This 254-nucleotide ribosomal RNA is filed under the name uncultured bacterium. Its description in RNAcentral is "partial 16S ribosomal RNA". It matches the Rfam family "Bacterial small subunit ribosomal RNA", at positions 524 to 776 of the family's 1533-position model. The record is from RNAcentral.
UACGAAGGGGGCUAGCGUUGCUCGGAAUCACUGGGCGUAAAGCGCACGUAGGCGGAUUGCUAAGUCAGGGGUGAAAUCCUGGAGCUCAACUCCAGAACUGCCCUUGAUACUGGCGGUCUCGAGUCCGGGAGAGGUGAGUGGAACUGCGAGUGUAGAGGUGAAAUUCGUAGAUAUUCGCAAGAACACCGGUGGCGAAGGCGGCAUCCUGGACCGGCAUUGACGCUGAGUGAGCGAAAGCCAGGGGAGCAAACGGG